RNAcentral lists this long non-coding RNA (1373 nucleotides) under Ananas comosus (pineapple). Its description in RNAcentral is "long non-coding RNA (ACOM_LNC036103)". The record is from RNAcentral. Lineage: Eukaryota; Viridiplantae; Streptophyta; Magnoliopsida; Poales; Bromeliaceae.
CAUUUGAAUAUUUUUUUUUUACUGAAAUAUAAGUAAAUAUAAUUUGCAUUUGUAAAUUAAUUAUAUUAAUAAGUAAUAAAAUAAAAAGACCAAACAUGAAAAAAAAAUUACGUUGCAAAAAAUUAAUUUCAACCCGUAAAAGAAUAAAUAUAAAAAAGACUAUAAUACAUAAUCAAAAAUCAUACAAUAACAAAUAAAUUUCAAUUUAGAAACUCAUCUAUAAACAAAAUCAUUAACCAAACAUCACAUAAAGGCACAUUAACAACAUAAUAUUAAAUAUAUAUUUUUCAUUUUUAAUAUCAAAUAGUACUAUUACCAAGUUAAGAAAUUAACAAAGCACCAUAUAGAAUAAAUAUUUCAUAGAGUCGAAACUUCCACACACAUCAUAAUACCAUCCAAAAGUGGAAGCUUAAACACUUACAUUAUAAAAAUUUAAAAGUUCUUGCACUAAAAAAAGGCAAGCCAAAAAAGUCUAAACCCAACUAUCCAACUCUAAUAACACAAUUUCUUCAAUCAUGUCCGCCUAAGAUGCGGAAAAUGUAUUGCUUUCGGUAAUGAUCGGGCAUGCACUAAAAUGUGUGUAAUUCUGUAGAAUCACCCGUUAGGAUUUCAGUGGCAUCCAUUAUUUGCCUGUCCUCAAGUCCCUCGAUCUUUAGUAUCUCUUCAAACAACUUCUUCUUUAUGGUCUCAUUAUUUGCCAUGAAUUGAAAGCAAUUAGCAAGCUGACCUAAGUGCUCGUUGGCAUCGUUAAAUGAAAUUCCAAGUGAACGCAAAGGUUGAACAAAAUUGUUCAUUGAUCAAAUCCUCUCCAAGUGGUGACUUUCGCUUCUUUGAUUUUGUCAAUGUGCCACCAUUCGAAGUGUUUACUCGAGCUAAAAAACAUCUCGACAUCAGGAUCUUAGGUGGAUGCGUGUGUCAUUAACUCUUCCUCUAGGGUUUUUAUUUUUAACUAGGGUUUUUAUUUUUAGGCCAACACAUGAUUAAUUAGGGCAUAAAAAAUAUAUAAAUUUUUCCCUAACAUUUCCAAAUCAGAUCCAGGAAAAGGGAGAUAAAAAAAAAAAAAAAAAAAAAAAAAAAAAAAAAAANAACGGGUCAUUUAAUGCGCGCCAGACCGUACGGCAGGGCAGUAUACGUAUGUCAAGAAAUACGCGGGAGGCUAUUGUAUAGGAGGGGCAUUUUGGUCAGGCGGCGGAAAAAGCGGACCGAAUCUGCAAAAAGGAAAAAGGUGGCCCGAUUUUGCAAAAUCCCAAAAUAAGUGGAUUUUUUAUGCAAAUUGGCCUAAUAUAUAUUCCGAAUCAACUUCGUUGUGCCAUGUAAGAAAAGAGUUUAAUGAAAAUUAAUGCGGUAACUUAAUUUAUAGCAAAAUGAUAUUU